GGGACCAUCCUCCAAGGCUAAAUACUCCUGACUGACCGAUAGUGAACCAGUACCGUGAGGGAAAGGCGAAAAGAACCCCGGCGAGGGGAGUGAAAAAGAACCUGAAACCGUGUACGUACAAGCAGUGGGAGCCUCUUUAUGGGGUGACUGCGUACCUUUUGUAUAAUGGGUCAGCGACUUAUAUUCUGUAGCAAGGUUAACCGAAUAGGGGAGCCGAAGGGAAACCGAGUCUUAACUGGGCGUUAAGUUGCAGGGUAUAGACCCGAAACCCGGUGAUCUAGCCAUGGGCAGGUUGAAGGUUGGGUAACACUAACUGGAGGACCGAACCGACUAAUGUUGAAAAAUUAGCGGAUGACUUGUGGCUGGGGGUGAAAGGCCAAUCAAACCGGGAGAUAGCUGGUUCUCCCCGAAAGCUAUUUAGGUAGCGCCUCGUGAAUUCAUCUCCGGGGGUAGAGCACUGUUUCGGCAAGGGGGUCAUCCCGACUUACCAACCCGAUGCAAACUGCGAAUACCGGAGAAUGUUAUCACGGGAGACACACGGCGGGUGCUAACGUCCGUCGUGAAGAGGGAAACAACCCAGACCGCCAGCUAAGGUCCCAAAGUCAUGGUUAAGUGGGAAACGAUGUGGGAAGGCCCAGACAGCCAGGAUGUUGGCUUAGAAGCAGCCAUCAUUUAAAGAAAGCGUAAUAGCUCACUGGUCGAGUCGGCCUGCGCGGAAGAUGUAACGGGGCUAAACCAUGCACCGAAGCUGCGGCAGCGACGCUUAUGCGUUGUUGGGUAGGGGAGCGUUCUGUAAGCCUGUGAAGGUGUGCUGUGAGGCAUGCUGGAGGUAUCAGAAGUGCGAAUGCUGACAUAAGUAACGAUAAAGCGGGUGAAAAGCCCGCUCGCCGGAAGACCAAGGGUUCCUGUCCAACGUUAAUCGGGGCAGGGUGAGUCGACCCCUAAGGCGAGGCCGAAAGGCGUAGUCGAUGGGAAACAGGUUAAUAUUCCUGUACUUGGUGUUACUGCGAAGGGGGGACGGAGAAGGCUAUGUUGGCCGGGCGACGGUUGUCCCGGUUUAAGCGUGUAGGCUGAUUUUCCAGGCAAAUCCGGAAAAUCAAGGCUGAGGCGUGAUGACGAGGCACUACGGUGCUGAAGCAACAAAUGCCCUGCUUCCAGGAAAAGCCUCUAAGCAUCAGGUAACAUCAAAUCGUACCCCAAACCGACACAGGUGGUCAGGUAGAGAAUACCAAGGCGCUUGAGAGAACUCGGGUGAAGGAACUAGGCAAAAUGGUGCCGUAACUUCGGGAGAAGGCACGCUGAUAUGUAGGUGAAGUCCCUCGCGGAUGGAGCUGAAAUCAGUCGAAGAUACCAGCUGGCUGCAACUGUUUAUUAAAAACACAGCACUGUGCAAACACGAAAGUGGACGUAUACGGUGUGACGCCUGCCCGGUGCCGGAAGGUUAAUUGAUGGGGUUAGCGGCAACGCGAAGCUCUUGAUCGAAGCCCCGGUAAACGGCGGCCGUAACUAUAACGGUCCUAAGGUAGCGAAAUUCCUUGUCGGGUAAGUUCCGACCUGCACGAAUGGCAUAACGAUGGCCACGCUGUCUCCACCCGAGACUCAGUGAAAUUGAAAUCGCUGUGAAGAUGCAGCGUACCCGCGGCAAGACGGAAAGACCCCGUGAACCUUUACUAUAGCUUUGCACUGAACUUUGAACCUGCUUGUGUAGGAUAGGUGGGAGGCUUUGAAGCGCUGACGCUAGUCAGCGUGGAGCCAACCUUGAAAUACCACCCUGGCAUGUUCGGAGUUCUAACCAUGGCCCGUUAUCCGGGUCUGGGACAGUGUAUGGUGGGUAGUUUGACUGGGGCGGUCUCCUCCGAAAGAGUAACGGAGGAGCACAAAGGUACACUCAGCACGGUCGGACAUCGUGCAAUGCGUGCAAAGGCAAAAGUGUGCUUGACUGCGAGACGGACAGGUCGAGCAGGGUCGAAAGACGGUCUUAGUGAUCCGGUGGUUCUGUAUGGAAGGGCCAUCGCUCAACGGAUAAAAGGUACUCCGGGGAUAACAGGCUGAUUCCUCCCAAGAGUCCACAUCGACGGAGGAGUUUGGCACCUCGAUGUCGGCUCAUCACAUCCUGGGGCUGUAGCAGGUCCCAAGGGUAUGGCUGUUCGCCAUUUAAAGUGGUACGCGAGCUGGGUUCAGAACGUCGUGAGACAGUUCGGUCCCUAUCUGCCGUGGGCGUUCGAAACUUGAAGGAAGCUGCUCCUAGUACGAGAGGACCGGAGUGGACGUACCUCUGGUGUUCCGGUUGUCACGCCAGUGGCACAGCCGGGUAGCUAAGUACGGAAGGGAUAACCGCUGAAAGCAUCUAAGCGGGAAGCCCCUCCUGAGAUGAGGUUUCGCUGGGCCCUCGAGGCCCCUGAAGAGCCGUCGUAGACUACGACGUUGAUAGGCUGGGUGUGGAAGGUCAGUAAUGGCUUAAGCUAACCAGUACUAAUUGCUCGUGAGACUUGACCAU
This 2497-nucleotide ribosomal RNA is filed under the name human gut metagenome. Its description in RNAcentral is "bacterial LSU rRNA". It matches the Rfam family "Bacterial large subunit ribosomal RNA", at positions 449 to 2925 of the family's 2925-position model. The record is from RNAcentral.